RNAcentral lists this ribosomal RNA (467 nucleotides) under uncultured bacterium. RNAcentral describes it as "partial 16S ribosomal RNA". It matches the Rfam family "Bacterial small subunit ribosomal RNA", at positions 28 to 507 of the family's 1533-position model. The record is from RNAcentral.
GACGAACGCUGGCGGCGUGCUUAACACAUGCAAGUCGAACGGAAAGGCCCUGCUUUUGUGGGGUGCUCGAGUGGCGAACGGGUGAGUAACACGUGAGUAACCUGCCCUUGACUUUGGGAUAACUUCAGGAAACUGGGGCUAAUACCGGAUAGGAGCUCCUGCUGCAUGGUGGGGGUUGGAAAGUUUCGGCGGUUGGGGAUGGACUCGCGGCUUAUCAGCUUGUUGGUGGGGUAGUGGCUUACCAAGGCUUUGACGGGUAGCCGGCCUGAGAGGGUGACCGGCCACAUUGGGCCUGAGAUACGGCCCAGACUCCUACGGGAGGCAGCAGUGGGGAAUAUUGCACAAUGGGCGGAAGCCUGAUGCAGCAACGCCGCGUGCGGGAUGACGGCCUUCGGGUUGUAACCGCUUUCGCCUGUGACGAAGCGUGAGUGACGGUAAUGGGUAAAGAAGCACCGGCUAACUACGUG